Molecule: long non-coding RNA, 888 nt
Organism: Carassius carassius (crucian carp)
Lineage: Eukaryota; Metazoa; Chordata; Actinopteri; Cypriniformes; Cyprinidae
Exons: 3
Source: RefSeq, a predicted model, not a curated record
UCUGCUGCCCCAUCUUAUUCAUUCUGUGAUGACCCAGGAUGGUUAGUGUCUAUUUGUGAAAAUUUAAAUUCGGUUUAUUACAGAUGAUUUAUCUGUGUUCAUUGUUUUUGAAAAAAGAAUAUGUGGCCUUGUUACAUUUAAUCACAACAAUCCAAUCAAUUACAAAUGAACAAAACCAGGUCCUGCUAUACAUUUUAUUUCGUUUGAGAAUCCAUUUCAAUAAAGGUUUUUAUAAAAUUAUAUAAUAAAAUGAAAAUGGAAAGAAUAGAAAAAGAAUAGAGCAAGCUAGUGUUAAAGGCCUUUUUUGCUUUUGUUAACUGUAUAAUAAAUAAAAAGAAAACAGAUAGAAUACAAAAGGAUUUGAAAAGAUACUGGUAGGUGUUUGUCAUGUACUGUGUUCCAGGUCUAAGUUUAAAUGUCACUUCUCUAAACAUUGAAAAUAGUUGUAAUCAACAAAAAAUUUCUAAUCUGACUCUUAUGUAACUCUUUAAUGCUGAAAUCAUUCAUGCCUAAUAACACAGUGGUAAUCGUGGUAAAAUUGCUGUUAUCACAUGGUUAAUUGCUUUAUUUAUUGUGUGCAUGUAGAUGAGCAGCAGGAUGAAAGUUUGUCAGACAGUGCUGGUCCAUUACACUCCGUGUUUCAGGACCUUCAACUCUCCAGCAACUUGGAGAACACUGCAGCCAAGCUACUUCUUUAGGAGUAUGUUUCCUGCAGCAUUGAGCUUCCCUCAGAUAGGAUUUCAGCUCUUAAUCAGAAAAUUCAAUCUACUGUACGCCAGUUUGAAUCCAGGUAUCCCUGUGCACUGGAUGUAGCAUUGAAAAAUCAUCUCAAAAAUGUGUCGUCUGACCAUGAAAAAAACAUGCUUCAUCAGUUCAUCUCUCUAACUA